CAGCAGCAGCAGCAGCAA
RNAcentral lists this microRNA (18 nucleotides) under Corchorus olitorius. RNAcentral's name for it is "dme-miR-2491-". Lineage: Eukaryota; Viridiplantae; Streptophyta; Magnoliopsida; Malvales; Malvaceae. The record is from RNAcentral.